UCCGUAGGGCGCAAGCGUUAUCCGGAAUUACUGGGCGUAAAGCGCACGUAGGCGGCUUUGUAAGUUAGAGGUGAAAGCCCGGGGCUCAACUCCGGAAUUGCCUUUAAGACUGCAUCGCUAGAAUUGUGGAGAGGUAAGUGGAAUUCCGAGUGUAGAGGUGAAAUUCGUAGAUAUUCGGAAGAACACCAGUGGCGAAGGCGACUUACUGGACACAUAUUGACGCUGAGGUGCGAAAGCGUGGGGAGCAAACAGG
RNAcentral lists this ribosomal RNA (253 nucleotides) under uncultured bacterium. RNAcentral's name for it is "partial 16S ribosomal RNA". It matches the Rfam family "Bacterial small subunit ribosomal RNA", at positions 524 to 776 of the family's 1533-position model. The record is from RNAcentral.